GAUGAACGCUAGCGGCAGGCUUAACACAUGCAAGUCGAGGGGCAGCACGGGUAGCAAUACCUGGUGGCGACCGGCGCAAGGGUGCGUAACGCGUGAGCAACAUGCCCUAUACAGGGGGAUAAUCCAGGGAAACUUGGUCUAAUAUCCCAUAGUAUUUAGAGGAGGCAUCUUCUAUAAAUUAAAGCUUCGGUGGUAUAGGAUUGGCUCGCGUGACAUUAGCUAGAUGGUGAGGUAACGGCUCACCAUGGCAAUGAUGUCUAGGGGUUCUGAGAGGAAGGCCCCCCACACUGGGACUGAGACACGGCCCAGACUCCUACGGGAGGCAGCAGUGAGGAAUAUUGGACAAUGGAUGGAAAUCUGAUCCAGCCAUGCCGCGUGCAGGAAGACAGCCCUAUGGGUUGUAAACUGCUUUUAUAUGGGAGCAAUAAGGUCUACGUGUAGACUGAUGAGAGUACCAUAUGAAU
Molecule: ribosomal RNA, 464 nt
Filed under: uncultured bacterium
Lineage: Bacteria
Description: bacterial SSU rRNA
Rfam family: Bacterial small subunit ribosomal RNA
Source: RNAcentral